RNAcentral lists this transfer RNA (81 nucleotides) under Caudoviricetes sp. RNAcentral's name for it is "tRNA-Ser". It matches the Rfam family "tRNA". Rfam says of the family: Transfer RNA (tRNA) molecules are approximately 80 nucleotides in length. Lineage: Duplodnaviria; Heunggongvirae; Uroviricota; Caudoviricetes. The record is from RNAcentral.
GGUCGUGUAGCUCAGACGAUGGUAGAGCAAGGUGAGCCACACCCAUUGCCGCUGGUUCGAGUCCAGCCACGACAAGACCGA